CUCACACCUGUAAAAUUAAAAUGUCCAUCGUUGUCGAUUUGAAAUGUUGGGAGGUAUGUGCUGUACCCAAACUGUCUAAAAAUAAAUUAUAUAUAGUUAAGCAGAUAUACCCCCAUAGGGGAGACAAGCCUGAACACCUAUUAUAUUUGUGAGUAAAUCUUUAAUCGCUCUUCCCCAUUUAUAUGUUUUGUAUUGUAUUACAUUAUUUGCAGUUUAUUUAGCAACUUAGAAUGUGACGGCAGAUAAGAACCGUUCAGCCCAUCUAGU
Pelobates cultripes (western spadefoot toad) is the source of this 267-nucleotide non-coding RNA. Lineage: Eukaryota; Metazoa; Chordata; Amphibia; Anura; Pelobatidae. The record is from the annotation of a GenBank genome assembly.